This 2167-nucleotide long non-coding RNA is filed under the name Sus scrofa (pig). Its description in RNAcentral is "lncRNA (ENSSSCG00030065866.1)". The record is from RNAcentral. Lineage: Eukaryota; Metazoa; Chordata; Mammalia; Artiodactyla; Suidae.
GCACUCACCGCCCACUGCCCGAAGCGUGCGAAGUGAAGCCGGCGUCGGGGCUCCCUGCGCUCGUCCCUCGCCGCCCCGACCGCGCGGGUUGCUGCCGCCGCCCUAGACCGUGAUUGUAACGCGGAGCUGGCCCUUUCCCAGGCCGGCCGCUGCGCCUAAAGGCAGAAACACUCCAGAUGUCCUCCAAUAGUUACCAAGUUUCAAUCCCGAUGUCAAAAAGGAACACCAAUGGCCUGCCGGGGUCCAGCUCCAAUGAGCUGAAGACGUCUGCUGGGGGAGCUGUGUUAAGCUUUCAUGACAUCUGCUAUCGAGUGAAAGUGAAGAGUGGCUUUCUUUUUUGUCGGAAAACGGUUGAGAAGGAAAUACUGACGAACAUCAAGUACGUCGUCCAUGAACUUUUACUGAAACAGGUUCAUUGUCGUGCAGUGCGCGUCUCAGGUUUUGCUUAGUGCAGAUCAAGGUACCGGUCUGCACAGGUAGACAGACACACGCUCUUCAUUGCUUUUGGCUAAACGAGCUGAGCGGUGAGCCAGUUGGAGGAGAUGUUGGGUGUAUGUACAUGUAAGACAACUGGAGCUUAGCUCACGUCUAAGAGACGGAAGAGAGUUUAGGACCCAAAGUAACACACUCGGUUGUCUUACAGAAUUCAAGUCCGUACAAAACUAUGAUUUUUCUUCCCGCCAUCCAGCAACUGACUCAUCACAUGGUGGUGGCGUGGGCGAUAGAGGGACCCCUGAGUGUGAGAAUAAGGAGAGGAAUGGGAGGUGAAAAGCUUUUAUCUUUUGCUGCAUAUGCCCAGACUAGCAUCGACCGACCUUUCUGAAAAGCUGCCAGGUUAUUUGUGGAGCAAAUAAUGAAGAAAAGUGCUGGUCACUUGAGAUGUUUUGCUGCUACAUGGAAGUUAGCAAAUGAUUUGCAAUAUGUGCAGGUUGAGUAAAUUGAAUAUAUUACUGCUCGAGGGUAUAUUUGUCUUGCUUAUGUUUUUUUUGUUUGUUUGUUUGUUUGUCUUUUUUGCCAUUUCUGGGGCCGCACCCGAGGCGUAUAGAGGUUCCCAGGCCAAGGGUCCAAUCAGAACUGCAGCCGCCGGCCUACACCACAGCCCACUGAGCAAGGACGGGGAUCGAACCUGCAACCUCAUGGUUCCUAGUUGGAUUCAUUACCCACUGAGCCACGAUGGGAACUCCCCUGCUUAUGUUUUAAAGCUAGUAGUGUGUUAACUUGCUAACACUAAAGGUGUCAUCUGCUCAAGGCUUUACAGUGUUUUUAUGGUUGAGUGGUAUGCAUUUCAGCAACAGGUGAGUUCAUCCUUACACGCUUUUCUAGGUUCAUAAAAACUCAGUCAAAUCUUGUAAUCAUUUCAAAUUUUAGUAAUUAAGAGGAUGCCAGGGGUUGUUUUUCUUGCUUACUCACAUUUCUGGUGUAGGCAGUGGUGUUUCUUUUUCCUAUUUGCUGGUUUCAACUGAGUUUGUCUAGGAUGGGCAAAGGGUGCUCUCAUUUAUCUUGUUUAUUUGUUUAUUUUUUUAGGAGUGCAACUGAGGCAUAUGGAAGUUCCCAGGCUAGAGGUCAAAUCAGAGCCACAGCCACACUGGAUCCAAGCCCUAUCUGCAACCUUCGUUGAAACUCAUGGCAAUGCUAGAUCCUUAACCCACUGAGCGAGGCCAGGAAUCGAACCUCCAUCCUCAUGGAUACUAGUUGGGUUUGUAACCCACUGAGCUAUAGCAGGAGCUCCGUCACUUUGUUUCUUUAUGUGCUCACUGCUGUUGAUAUUUUUCUGGACCAUGUGAGAACAGGCUGCCCAUAUGAUGCUCCAUUAUCACCACCUCCUCCAGUAAAUAUUUCUAGAGACAGGGACUCUCCCUUAUAUAACCACUCAGUCAUUGCCCGGGAGCAGUCCAGGGGUGGCCUCAGCCUGAACAUAGGGGCGGGUCCUGGGAGGCCGCUGCUCAGCCACGCUUCUCAACACGUUGUGUCUCUUCAGUCUCAUCCACGCUGUCGUUUUUCUGUCCCAUCCCUUAACCUUGAUUACCUGCCCAGGUUGGGGUCUGCCAGCCUUCUUUAGUAUAAUGUCACCAUCAUCCCCUUUGUAAUUGAUAAAUAUUAUGAAGGGAGAUACUCUAACAUUAUUCCAUUAUUCCAAAAUCCUAUUUCCAAAAAAAAAAAAAAAAAA